CCAUAUGGUCGACCUGCAGGCGGCCGCGAAUUCACUAGUGAUUCGUAUUACCGCGGCUGCUGGCACAGAGUUAGCCGGUGCUUAUUCUGUCGGUAACGUCAAAACAGCAAAGUAUUAAUUUACUGCCCUUCCUCCCAACUUAAAGUGCUUUACAAUCCGAAGACCUUCUUCACACACGCGGCAUGGCUGGAUCAGGCUUUCGCCCAUUGUCCAAUAUUCCCCACUGCUGCCUCCCGUAGGAGUCUGGACCGUGUCUCAGUUCCAGUGUGACUGAUCAUCCUCUCAGACCAGUUACGGAUCGUCGCCUUGGUGAGCCAUUACCCCACCAACUAGCUAAUCCGACCUAGGCUCAUCUGAUAGCGCAAGGCCCGAAGGUCCCCUGCUUUCUCCCGUAGGACGUAUGCGGUAUUAGCGUCCGUUUCCGAACGUUAU
RNAcentral lists this ribosomal RNA (432 nucleotides) under uncultured Gammaproteobacteria bacterium. RNAcentral's name for it is "partial 16S ribosomal RNA". The record is from RNAcentral. Lineage: Bacteria; Pseudomonadati; Pseudomonadota; Gammaproteobacteria.